Molecule: ribosomal RNA, 301 nt
Filed under: uncultured bacterium
Lineage: Bacteria
Description: partial 16S ribosomal RNA
Rfam family: Bacterial small subunit ribosomal RNA
Source: RNAcentral
CAGCCGCCGCGGUAAUACGUAGGUGGCAAGCGUUGUCCGGAAUUAUUGGGCGUAAAGGGCUCGCAGGCGGUUUCUUAAGUCUGAUGUGAAAGCCCCCGGCUCAACCGGGGAGGGUCAUUGGAAACUGGGAAACUUGAGUGCAGAAGAGGAGAGUGGAAUUCCACGUGUAGCGGUGAAAUGCGUAGAGAUGUGGAGGAACACCAGUGGCGAAGGCGACUCUCUGGUCUGUAACUGACGCUGAGGAGCGAAAGCGUGGGGUGCGAACAGGAUUAGAUACCCGCGUAGUCCCUGUCUCUUAUAC